Molecule: ribosomal RNA, 464 nt
Filed under: Vreelandella stevensii
Lineage: Bacteria; Pseudomonadati; Pseudomonadota; Gammaproteobacteria; Oceanospirillales; Halomonadaceae
Description: partial 16S ribosomal RNA
Rfam family: Bacterial small subunit ribosomal RNA
Source: RNAcentral
CCUACGGGGGGCAGCAGUGGGGAAUAUUGGACAAUGGGCGAAAGCCUGAUCCAGCCAUGCCGCGUGUGUGAAGAAGGCCUUCGGGUUGUAAAGCACUUUCAGUGGGGAAGAAAGCCUUGGGGCUAAUACCCUCGAGGAAGGACAUCACCCACAGAAGAAGCACCGGCUAACUCCGUGCCAGCAGCCGCGGUAAUACGGAGGGUGCGAGCGUUAAUCGGAAUUACUGGGCGUAAAGCGCGCGUAGGCGGUCUGAUAAGCCGGUUGUGAAAGCCCCGGGCUCAACCUGGGAACGGCAUCCGGAACUGUCAGGCUAGAGUGCAGGAGAGGAAGGUAGAAUUCCCGGUGUAGCGGUGAAAUGCGUAGAGAUCGGGAGGAAUACCAGUGGCGAAGGCGGCCUUCUGGACUGACACUGACGCUGAGGUGCGAAAGCGUGGGUAGCAAACAGGAUUAGAUACCCUGGUAGC